GGCAAGAUGGCCGAGUGGUUAAGGCGCUGUGUUUAGGCUGAUCAUUUCAAAGGAUCCGCAGUGGGCAACCUCGAGGGUUCGAAUCCCUCUCUUGUCA
This is a non-coding RNA of Myriangium duriaei CBS 260.36, 97 nucleotides long. The record is from the annotation of a GenBank genome assembly. Lineage: Eukaryota; Fungi; Ascomycota; Dothideomycetes; Myriangiales; Myriangiaceae.